UGGGGAAUAUUGCGCAAUGGGCGAAAGCCUGACGCAGCAACGCCGCGUGAGGGAUGAAGUACGUCGAGAUGUAAACCUCUUUCAGCAGGGACGAAGCGAAAGUGACGGUACCUGCAGAAGAAGCGCCGGCUAACUACGUGCCAGCAGCCGCGGUAAUACGUAGGGCGCAAGCGUUGUCCGGAUUUAUUGGGCGUAAAGGGCUCGUAGGCGGUCUGUCACGUCGGAUGUGAAAACUCAGUGCUUAACACUGGGCCUGCAUUCGAUACGGGCAGACUAGAGUUCGGUAGGGGAGACUGGAACUCCUGGUGUAGCGGUGGAAUGCGCAGAUAUCAGGAAGAACACCGAUGGCGAAGGCAGGUCUCUGGGCCGACACUGACGCUGAGGAGCGAAAGCGUGGGGAGCAAACAGG
RNAcentral lists this ribosomal RNA (409 nucleotides) under uncultured bacterium. RNAcentral's name for it is "bacterial SSU rRNA". It matches the Rfam family "Bacterial small subunit ribosomal RNA", at positions 355 to 776 of the family's 1533-position model. The record is from RNAcentral.